UGGGGAAUUUUGGACAAUGGGCGCAAGCCUGAUCCAGCAAUGCCGCGUGCAGGAUGAAGGCCUUCGGGUUGUAAACUGCUUUUGUACGGAACGAAAAGCCCUGGGUUAAUACCCUGGGGUCAUGACGGUACCGUAAGAAUAAGCACCGGCUAACUACGUGCCAGCAGCCGNGGUAAUACGUAGGGUGCGAGCGUUAAUCGGAAUUACUGGGCGUAAAGCGUGCGCAGGCGGUUUUGUAAGACAGAGGUGAAAUCCCCGGGCUCAACCUGGGAACUGCCUUUGUGACUGCAAGGCUAGAGUACGGCAGAGGGGGAUGGAAUUCCGCGUGUAGCAGUGAAAUGCGUAGAUAUGCGGAGGAACACCGAUGGCGAAGGCAAUCCCCUGGGCCUGUACUGACGCUCAUGCACGAAAGCGUGGGGAGCAAACAGGAUUAGAUACCCUGGUAGUCCACGCCCUAAACGAUGUCAACUGGUUGUUGGGUCUUAACUGACUCAGUAACGAAGCUAACGCGUGAAGUUGACCGCCUGGGGAGUACGGCCGCAAGGUUGAAACUCAAAUGAAUUGACGGGGUCAUAGCUGUUUCC
This 584-nucleotide ribosomal RNA is filed under the name uncultured bacterium. RNAcentral's name for it is "partial 16S ribosomal RNA". It matches the Rfam family "Bacterial small subunit ribosomal RNA", at positions 355 to 937 of the family's 1533-position model. The record is from RNAcentral.